GUGAGGAAUAUUGGGCAAUGGGCGAAAGCCUGACCCAGCCACGCCGCGUGAGUGAUGAAGGCCUUCGGGUUGUAAAGCUCUGUGGGGAGGGAAGAAAAAGCGCAGGAGUAACUGCCUGUGUGUUGACGGUACCUCCUUAGCAAGCACCGGCUAACUCUGUGCUAGCAGCCGCGGUAAUACAGAGGGUGCAAACGUUGCUCGGAAUUACUGGGCGUAAAGCGCGUGUAGUCUGACAUGCAAGUCGGGUGUGAAAUCCCAGGGCUCAACCUUGGAACUGAACUCGAAACUGCUCGUCUUGAGUACUGGAGAGGGAAGCGGAAUUCCGGGUGUAGAGGUGAAAUUCGUAGAUAUACGGAGGAACACCAGUGGAGAAGGCGGCUUCCUGGACAGUAACUGACGCUGAGACGCGAAAGCGUGGGGAGCAAACAGGAUUAGAUACCCCAGUAGUCC
Molecule: ribosomal RNA, 450 nt
Filed under: uncultured bacterium
Lineage: Bacteria
Description: partial 16S ribosomal RNA
Rfam family: Bacterial small subunit ribosomal RNA
Source: RNAcentral